Molecule: long non-coding RNA, 220 nt
Filed under: Elaeis guineensis (African oil palm)
Lineage: Eukaryota; Viridiplantae; Streptophyta; Magnoliopsida; Arecales; Arecaceae
Description: long non-coding RNA (EGUI_LNC002681)
Source: RNAcentral
GAUAAACACUCUUCAAAAGGAUUCUUAAUAACUCUAAGAUCUUUUGGAGGUCUUAGAAUCAAUGAAUGGAAUAGUUUAGAUUCCCCAAUAGCAUGGUCAGUGGUGUUCUUAUUCGAUGGAACCCAAGAAACUUUUCAUUGAAGAACUCGAUCAAAUUAUCUUUCUCUGUUUGUGGAGCUGUGCUACCAUCCUUUGAAUGGUUCUUAUCAAUAUAACUAAG